UGGGGAAUAUUGCGCAAUGGGCGAAAGCCUGACGCAGCAACGCCGUGUGAGUGAUGAAGGCCCUCGGGUCGUAAAGCUCUGUCAGCAGGGAAGAUGGGUGGUGAAAUUAAUAAUUUCAUCAUUUGACGGUACCUGCAAAGGAAGCACCGGCUAACUCUGUGCCAGCAGCCGCGGUAAUACAGAGGGUGCAAGCGUUGUUCGGAAUUAUUGGGCGUAAAGCGCGCGUAGGCGGUUACAUAUGUCUGACGUGAAAGCCCGGGGCUCAACCCCGGAAGUGCAUCGGAAACUGUGUAACUAGAGUCCCGGAGAGGAUGGUGGAAUUCCAGGUGUAGAGGUGAAAUUCGUAGAUAUCUGGAGGAACAUCAGUGGCGAAGGCGGCCAUCUGGACGGUGACUGACGCUGAGGUGCGAAAGCGUGGGUAGCGAACAGG
RNAcentral lists this ribosomal RNA (430 nucleotides) under uncultured bacterium. RNAcentral describes it as "bacterial SSU rRNA". It matches the Rfam family "Bacterial small subunit ribosomal RNA", at positions 355 to 776 of the family's 1533-position model. The record is from RNAcentral.